AAGGAUUUAAGUUAAACAAAAAAAACUUUUAACCUUCAAAGUUAAAUAUAGAGCUAUCUAAGCCUUA
RNAcentral lists this transfer RNA (67 nucleotides) under Charaea flaviventris. RNAcentral describes it as "tRNA-Trp". Lineage: Eukaryota; Metazoa; Arthropoda; Insecta; Coleoptera; Chrysomelidae. The record is from RNAcentral.